RNAcentral lists this ribosomal RNA (546 nucleotides) under uncultured bacterium. Its description in RNAcentral is "bacterial SSU rRNA". It matches the Rfam family "Bacterial small subunit ribosomal RNA", at positions 777 to 1321 of the family's 1533-position model. The record is from RNAcentral.
AAUAGAUACCCGGGUAGUCCACGCCGUAAACGAUGAGUGCUAAGUGUUAGGGGGUUUCCGCCCCUUAGUGCUGCAGCUAACGCAUUAAGCACUCCGCCUGGGGAGUACGGUCGCAAGACUGAAACUCAAAGGAAUUGACGGGGGCCCGCACAAGCGGUGGAGCAUGUGGUUUAAUUCGAAGCAACGCGAAGAACCUUACCAGGUCUUGACAUCCCAUUGACCGCUAUGGAGACAUAGCUUUCCCUUCGGGGACAGUGGUGACAGGUGGUGCAUGGUUGUCGUCAGCUCGUGUCGUGAGAUGUUGGGUUAAGUCCCGCAACGAGCGCAACCCUUGUUCUUAGUUGCCAUCAUUUAGUUGGGCACUCUAAGGAGACUGCCGGUGACAAACCGGAGGAAGGUGGGGAUGACGUCAAAUCAUCAUGCCCCUUAUGACCUGGGCUACACACGUGCUACAAUGGACGGUACAAACGGUUGCCAACCCGCGAGGGGGAGCUAAUCCGAUAAAACCGUUCUCAGUUCGGAUUGUAGGCUGCAACUCGCCUACAU